GAUGAACGCUGGCGGCGUGCCUAAUACAUGCAAGUCGAGCGAACAGACGAGGAGCUUGCUCCUCUGACGUUAGCGGCGGACGGGUGAGUAACACGUGGAUAACCUACCUAUAAGACUGGGAUAACUUCGGGAAACCGGAGCUAAUACCGGAUAAUAUAUUGAACCGCAUGGUUCAAUAGUUAAAGACGGUUUUGCUGUCACUUAUAGAUGGAUCCGCGCCGCAUUAGCUAGUUGGUAAGGUAACGGCUUACCAAGGCGACGAUGCGUAGCCGACCUGAGAGGGUGAUCGGCCACACUGGAACUGAGACACGGUCCAGACUCCUACGGGAGGCAGCAGUAGGGAAUCUUCCGCAAUGGGCGAAAGCCUGACGGAGCAACGCCGCGUGAGUGAUGAAGGUCUUCGGAUUGUAAAACUCUGUUAUUAGGGAAGAACAAAUGUGUAAGUAACUAUGCACGUCUUGACGGUACCUAAUCAGAAAGCAACGGCUAACUACGUG
RNAcentral lists this ribosomal RNA (497 nucleotides) under uncultured bacterium. Its description in RNAcentral is "partial 16S ribosomal RNA". It matches the Rfam family "Bacterial small subunit ribosomal RNA", at positions 28 to 507 of the family's 1533-position model. The record is from RNAcentral.